Molecule: small nuclear RNA, 139 nt
Filed under: Catagonus wagneri (Chacoan peccary)
Lineage: Eukaryota; Metazoa; Chordata; Mammalia; Artiodactyla; Tayassuidae
Description: U2 spliceosomal RNA (ENSCWAG00000014393.1)
Rfam family: U2 spliceosomal RNA
About the family: U2 is a small nuclear RNA (snRNA) component of the spliceosome (involved in pre-mRNA splicing). Complementary binding between U2 snRNA (in an area lying towards the 5' end but 3' to hairpin I) and the branchpoint sequence (BPS) of the intron results the bulging out of an unpaired adenosine, on the BPS, which initiates a nucleophilic attack at the intronic 5' splice site, thus starting the first of two transesterification reactions that mediate splicing.
Source: Rfam by way of RNAcentral
AUCACUUCUCGGCCUUUUGGCCAAGAUCAAGUGUAGUAUAACUAUAUCUACAUGCAUACCCAUAUCUGUAUCUAUAUGGUAUGCAUAAAACAAUAAAUAUUCUGAAUAUUAUAUAUUCUUUAAGUGCAGGAGAAUUGUC